CGCACAAGCGGUGGAUUAUGUGGAUUAAUUCGAUGCAACGCGAAAACCUUACCUACCCUUGACAUGCUAGGAAGUCCGCAGAGAUGUGGAUGUGCCCGAAAGGGAACCUAGACACAGGUGCUGCAUGGCUGUCGUCAGCUCGUGUCGUGAGAUGUUGGGUUAAGUCCCGCAACGAGCGCAACCCUUGCCAUUAGUUGCGACAUUUAGUUGAGCACUCUAAUGGGACCGCCGGUGACAAACCGGAGGAAGGUGGGGAUGACGUCAAGUCCUCAUGGCCCUUAUGGGUAGGGCUUCACACGUAAUACAAUGGUCGGUACAGAGGGCUGCCAACCCGCGAGGGGGAGCUAAUCCCAGAAAGCCGAUCGUAGUCCGGAUUGUAGUCUGCAACUCGACUGCAUGAAGCCGGAAUCGCUAGUAAUCGCGGAUCAGCAUGUCGCGGUGAAUACGUUCCCGGGUCUUGUACACACCGCCCGUCACACCAUGGGAGUGGGUUCCACCAGAAGUAGGUAGCCUAACCGCAAGGAGGGCGCUUACCACGGUGAGAUUCAUGACUGGGGUGAAGUCGUAACAAGGUA
Molecule: ribosomal RNA, 575 nt
Filed under: uncultured bacterium
Lineage: Bacteria
Description: bacterial SSU rRNA
Rfam family: Bacterial small subunit ribosomal RNA
Source: RNAcentral